RNAcentral lists this ribosomal RNA (1362 nucleotides) under Triticum aestivum (bread wheat). Its description in RNAcentral is "partial small subunit ribosomal RNA". The record is from RNAcentral. Lineage: Eukaryota; Viridiplantae; Streptophyta; Magnoliopsida; Poales; Poaceae.
AUGCCCAAUUCUCUCCUGCUCCUCCUCCUCCUCGUCCUCCGCGCAGUCACCGGAGACGCCGCCGCCGAUUCGGCAGACCCCUGCGCGGGCCGCAGGAUCCACAUCCGGGACUUGCCCCCGCGCUUCAACACGCACCUCUUUCGCCACUGCGACGCCGCCUUCCCGCUCGCCGACCCGUCCUCGUCGGCCACCUCCACGCCGACCUGCGAGUCGCUCGCCAACCACGGGCUCGGCCCGCGCACCCACGCCCGCAGCUGCUCCUGGUACCGCACGGACGCGCGCCUCCUCGAGCCCUUCUUCCACCGCCGACUCCUCGAGCGCCGCUGCCUCGUCGCCGACCCUGGCCUCGCCGACGCCGUCUUCCUCCCGUACUACGCGGCGCUCGACUCUAUCCCCUACGUGCUCGACCCCUCGCUCCUCAACUCCUCCGCGCUUCACGGCGCGUCCCUUGCCCAGUUCCUGGCGCGCGACCGGCCCCAGAUCCUGGCGCGUCGGCAUGGGCACGACCAUUUCAUGGUCCUCGGCGGGUCCGCGUGGGACCACUCGCAGCCGCCGCGCGCGGAGCCCCGGCUGCUGGGCACCACGUCGCUGGUCAGGCUGCCGGAGUUCGAGAACUUCACGUUCCUGGCGCUCGAGUCGCGCUCGUGGCCGUGGCAGGAGCACGCGAUCCCGCACCCGACGUCUUUCCACCCGGCUUCGCUCCCGCGGCUGGAGGCCUGGCUUGCGCGCGCGCGGCGCUCCCGCCGCACCACGCUGAUGCUCUUCGCCGGCGGCGUCUCGCGCCCGUCCAGGCCCAACAUCCGGGGCUCCAUCCUCGCCGAGUGCGCGAACCGCACUGACGCGUGCGUCGUCGUGGACUGCUCGGCCGGCAAGUGCUCCCACGACCCCGUCCGGUACAUGCGCCCGAUGCUGGGUGCCAAGUUCUGCCUGGAGCCGCCGGGGGACACGCCGACGCGGCGGUCCACGUUCGACGCCAUACUCGCCGGGUGCGUGCCGGUGUUCUUCGAGGACGCCGCGGCGAGGCGGCAGUACGGCUGGCACCUUCCCCCCGGGCGGUACGACGAGUUCUCCGUGUACAUACAGAAGGAGACGGUGGUGCUCGGGGGCGUGAAGAUCGCCGAGACGCUGGCGGCCGUGCCCGAGGCGGAGGUGCGGAGGAUGCGGGAGCGCGCGCUGGAGAUGGCGCCCAGGGUGCUGUACCGGAGGCACGGGAGCACCGCAGAGCUGAGAGAGGCGGGCAAGGACGCGGUGGACCUCGCCGUGGACGGCGCGCUCCGGAGGAUACGCAGGCGGGCUCGCGCGCUGGAGGAAGGCCAGCCGGAGAGGAUAUACGCGCAGGAGGACGACAGUGUCGACGCGUAG